CCAAUAGCGUAUAUUAAAGUUGUUGCAGUUAAAAAGCUCGUAGUUGAAUUUCGGGAUCAGAUUGUCGGUCGUGCCUCGGUACGCACUGGCAUUAUUGGUUCCUACCUUCUGAAGAACCGCGAUGUCAUUAAUUUGGUGUCGUGGGGAAUCAGGACUGUUACUUUGAAAAAAUUAGAGUGUUUAAAGCAGGCGCACGCUUGAAUACAUUAGCAUGGAAUAAUGAAAUAGGACGUUUGAUUCUAUUUUGUUGGUUUCUAGGAUCGACGUAAUGAUUAAUAGGGAUAGUUGGGGGCAUUAGUAUUCAAUUGUCAGAGGUGAAAUUCUUGGAUUUAUUGAAGACUAACUACUGCGAAAGCAUUUGCCAAGGAUGUUUUCAUUAAUCAAGAACGAAAGUUAGGGGAUCGAAGACGAUCAGAUACCGUCGUAGUCUUAACCAUAAACUAUGCCGACUAGGGAUCGGAUGAUGUUAAUUUUAUAAUGACUCAUUCGGCGCCUUGCG
Molecule: ribosomal RNA, 499 nt
Filed under: uncultured Glomeromycotina
Lineage: Eukaryota; Fungi; Glomeromycota
Description: partial small subunit ribosomal RNA
Rfam family: Eukaryotic small subunit ribosomal RNA
Source: RNAcentral